Podarcis lilfordi (Lilford's wall lizard) is the source of this 72-nucleotide non-coding RNA. The record is from the annotation of a GenBank genome assembly. Lineage: Eukaryota; Metazoa; Chordata; Lepidosauria; Squamata; Lacertidae.
UGGAUAGCUCAGUCGAUAGAGCAGGAGACUCUUAAUCUCAGGGUUGUGGGUAUGAUCCCCAUGUUGGAUCAA